AAUUAGCCCUGGCAAAUUCUCCCGGAGGACUCAUGACUCAAAGUAGACCAGUAAUAGAAGGCAAGUGUUCUCAAGAAAACAGAGCAUGGUGAGUAAGAUUUUACUGGACCAGCACUGGCGUACCUCCGUGCCCUCCUUUGGGCCCCCUCCAAACUUGGGACCUUCCUCUCUCUUGCAGGGCCCCUACUUUGGGGAGCUUUACCAAACCAGGAGCCAUUUUCAUUUGUUACUUAGAGCCAGAGUGUGUCUUAAGAAUGCAGAUGUCUGGGAUCCACUUAUACAUUAGAGUGUGUUGGUUGACCAUAUGACCGUAGCUUUGAUCUGGAGGGACAUCAGUGACC
Molecule: long non-coding RNA, 341 nt
Filed under: Vombatus ursinus (common wombat)
Lineage: Eukaryota; Metazoa; Chordata; Mammalia; Diprotodontia; Vombatidae
Description: lncRNA (ENSVURG00010016341.1)
Source: RNAcentral